This 6229-nucleotide long non-coding RNA is filed under the name Salvia miltiorrhiza (redroot sage). RNAcentral describes it as "long non-coding RNA (SMIL_LNC008025)". The record is from RNAcentral. Lineage: Eukaryota; Viridiplantae; Streptophyta; Magnoliopsida; Lamiales; Lamiaceae.
UAACCAGCGUCACCACCGCGUAAACCGGCUCGCCGCCGCACGACAGCGACCCCAAUUUCACCCUUAUAAAAUCCACAACCGACAUCGUCAGGAACGUGCAGCCCAGCACCGAUCCCACGGCGGAGGCGAAGAGGCAGUAUUUGAGGUGGUCGACGUUGAUGUCGGCUCUGUGAGGAUCUUUGGGGUCCAUGUUGUUGCGGAGGUUGAUCUGAAGCUUCAAGCUCUGAGCCACCAGCGAUGAGAAGAGGAAGAAGCUGAACGAGAGGACUUCGAACACGAUGAGCCGCCUCACCGUCUCCGCACUGGUGGUGCACGCUGCUCUCGUGGCGGCGGUGGCGUUUUGCGGGACAGUCAUGGAGAAGCCGAUGAAUAACGACAUCGUAAAGAGGGAGUUGACGUUCACUAUGCCGUCGAGGGCCGUCACGUGGAUGCUCGUGUUCUUCCCGCUGUCCGCCGAGCUGGCGGCGCCGGCGGCUUGCAUUUCCAUUCUGCACGCAACGUAUGCAUGGUGUUAAUUAUAGGUUUAUGUUACUAAUUUACAUAAUGAUUUAUACUUAAAUUUAUAAUAUGGGCACAUAAAAUAGCAUGGAUUAAACAGAGAGAUACGAAUUAUAAUUACCCGUGUAAAGUUGGAGAGGAGACGGGGACGAUGGUGUGACGCCUGCUGUUCAUCAUUUUGUUUCUGAUUAAAAAUAUAUGUUAACUCAGGUUGAUGUAAUUUGGCUAUACUUUUGAGUUUUGAAGUGUGAGAGUGUGACCACUAUUUAUAUACAAGGUUUGGUUAACUACUAGACGAAAAUGUCAUUUUCCCUCAUUGCUUCGCGGAAUCAUUAGAUGUUAAUCAGCAGUCUUGGUCUUUUAAUUUAGACAAAUGCUAUAACUUCAACUUUAGUUUUUGGCAGUAUACUGUAUUAAUCAACCAAAUUAUUUGUCAAGGCAUCUGUAAACAUUAUUUUUUCAACUACCAGUUAGGUAUACAAGAAUAGAGGCUCAUUGACUGCGCGUUAUUUAUCAACUAGCUACAGACAACUAGCAUACACGUUCCUUCGUUCAUUUUUAAAUUUAUACGCUCUUCGUCUAAUAAAUAAGUAUUCAUUUGAACGUAACAUAAGUUUUAAGAAAUUUGAUUAAAUUAAUGCGUAUGAGUGAAAUAUGAGUUCUAUUUUUAUUAUGAAAGAAUCUUGUGGAUUACACUUGCUAAAAAGAAAAUUGGAUACUCAUUUUAAUUUAUAGACCGACUGAAAGAUAAAUAUGAGUGUUCAUUGGGAAUCUAACAUAUCCGAUCUUAUAAUAAGUCUUCCUUGGUUGUUGAACUUUUUCUAAAGCAUUCUUCUUAAAUAAAUAUACUGUUUAGAUACGUACACAUUUGUUGAAUUGGUGCAUACUAAUUUUUUAAAGCUAUUGUACACUAAUAAAGAACCCGACUUUAACUACUCAAAUCAUUAUAAAUAUUACUCAUUCUGUCAAAUAAAUCUCUUCCGUCCAACAAUUCGUGUCCUAAAAAAGGGGAGUACAAUUUAAAAUAGGGUUAAUGGCAUGUAAAUUACUAAACUAUAGGACAAUUCUGGUUUAAAUACCGAACUUCAAAGUGUAUUAAGGAAAUUCCUAAACAAUUGAUUUGAUCUGAUUUGGUAAGUCCGGCCAUAUUCCGGCAAGGGUAUUUUUGGUAAUGUACAUACGUGGCUUAUUUUUGUUGCGCUGGCACCUUGUUGGCCGCCUAGUGUGAUCCGACUGGAUAUAGCAAAUUACUAAAUGCCGUCGUUUAGUAAUUUUGGGGGGAAACAACCGAAAAGUCGCGCCCCAUUCCUAUCGUUUUCAUUCUUUCUGCUUUUCUCCCGAUUGUUGAAGACGAAGAUUCUUCCCCUUUUUAAUUUCUUCACCAAAGUUGUCGUCUUUUGGAGAGCACACUAGGACCCAGUAGUUUAUUAUGUUUUAUAGUUGUCUCUGAUAAUUGAAAUCGAGAACGUGGGCAUCUGUGGCUUUGUGGUCCCAUUCAGUAAUGGCGAAAAGGUAACUCAAUAACCAAUUUAUUAUGCUUUCAUGAACUUUUGGUUAACGUUUUUGAGGAAGAAGUGUAGUGUAUUCUUUGUGUAUACUGACAAAAGCAGAAGUUGUCGCAUUUUGUAGUAUUUGGGUUAAAAAUUGUCUCUUGCUUGCCUAUAGGUGGGAAAUUGUUAGUUGUUGUCAUUUUGUGCAUUAAUGUUUGGAUAUAACGGUUUUAGGGUUUUGCAUGUUAAAGUUUCGCGCAUUUUUCAAUUGUUGUUGCUUUGAAUCUGUAAAAUCUGUCUGUGUGGCUUGUCUAAAUUUUAAAUUUAUUUUGUUCCAUUUUAUGUCUACAGUGACGAUGAAUUUGGUUUACAUAUUUGCCAUGGAGGUAGGUUCAUUAACUAUGAAGCUAAACAACAUUAUAUAGGUGGGGUUUAUGACAAUAAGAUUGGCUUAGAUCCUGAUAGGUUUGGGUACUUNUGUCAUUUUCCCUCAUUGCUUCGCGGAAUCAUUAGAUGUUAAUGAGCAGUCUUAGUCUUUUAAUUUAGAGAAAUGCUUUCAACUUUAGUUUUUGGCAGUAUACUGUAUUAAUUAACCAAAUUAUUUGUCAAGGCAUCUGUAAACAUUAUUUUUUCAACUACCAGUUAGGUACAAGAAUAGAGGCUCAUUGACUGCGCGUUAUUUAUCAACUAGCUACAGACAACUAGCAUAUACACGUUCCUUCGUUCAUUUUUAAAUUCAUACGCUCUUCGUCUAAUAAAUAAGUAUUCAUUUGAACGUGACACAAGUUUUAAGAAAUUUGAUUAAAUGUGUAUGUGUGAAAUAUGAGUUCUAUUUUUAUUAUGAAUGAAUCGUGUGGAUUACACCUAGAAUAAUGCUAAACAGCUACAUUGUGGUCACCCACAAUUUAUCUAAAUAAAAAAUAAUUUAAUUUAUUUUCUAAAAUAAAAAUAAGAUUUAGUUAUUUUAUCAUAUUCUCUACAAUGUAAUUAUUUUUUUGUAAUUUUUUGAUAACUUUUUAUUUUUAUUAAGAACAAAAUUAAAAAUAAAAAAUGCAAAAAAAAUAUAAAAAAAUAAGUACAACGCAGAGAAUAUAAUAAUUAAAUAACUAAAUCUUAUUUUUAUUUUAAAAAAUAAAUUAAACAAAUCAAGAUUUUUCUUAUUAUACUAUUGUAUAGGUGGCCACAAUGUAAUUGCAUAGAUUUAUUGUUACACUUGCUAGAAGAAAAUUGGAUACUCAUUUUAAUUUAUAGACGGACUGAAAGAUAAAUAUGAGUGUUCAUUGGGAAUCUAACAUAUUCGAUCUUAUAAUAAGUCUUCCUUGGUUGUUGAACUUUUUUUAAAGCAUUCUUCUUAAAUAAAUAUACUGUUUAGAUACGUACACAUUUGUUGAAUUGGUGCAUACUAAUUUUUUAAAUUAAGCUAUUGUACACUAAUAAAGAACCCGACUUGAACUACUCAAAUCAUUAUAAAUAUUACUCCUUCUGUACAAUAAAUCUCUUCCGUUCAACAAUUCGUGUCCUAGAAAAGGAGUACAAUUUAAAAAUAUAUAUAUAUAUAUAUUGUUUAUUUGUUGAGUUGAAAAGGGGACUAACAAUUAGUAAGUAUAGUUGACUAAUGACAUUUUUUAAGAUUAAAAGUGGUGGGUCCCUGUAAAUAUAUUAGUGUAAAAUAUAAGGAUAGUAAUUAAGAAAAUAGUUACUAAAAAUAAGUAGGACAUGAAUUGAUGGACAUAUCAAAAUGACAAAUUAGGACACGAAUUGAUGGACAGAUCAAAAUGACAAAUUAUGACGUAUUCCUCAAAUAAAUAUUCAUGAUUGUCUUCGUCUACGUUCAACAGUAAAAGCAAUUAUAUGUUAUAGUAUCAUAGUUUAAGGAUGUCUUCGCCUUUCGAAAUAUGAGAUUACCCCUGCCAUUUUGGGAAAAGAUAGAUCUACCUCAAGAUAUUCUUCUCCCCAUCUAAAUACCUUAUUCAUACUCAUGCAAAAAGGUACACUUACUCAACUCACUUAAUCUAAAACACUUAAAUUAAUCUUUCUCUAGUUUUCUCUAUGAAAAAUUAAACCUUCAUCACAAAAUCCUCAGUCAUAUUAUUAACUUAAGCAUCACAGUCUCUCCUCAGAACCCUUCUGGUCUUGUUUUGCAGAUUGUUGCGAGAAGUUUGAAGAUCCUCAAAGAUUGUUCAUCAAUUAAUCAUCUAUCGUUCACUCAAUUUGCGUCUAUAUCUUCGAACUACUUCUUUGAAGGUAGCUUAAUUUGAAUCGUUGAGAUUUUGACACAAAUCAUACAACUGGCUCUGUCAAUGGGAAAGAUGAAUUGCUGAUUUUACCAAGAACUAACAUAAUCAGUUGAUCAUGCAUGUAUGAGAUUUUAAGUGCUAAUCACGUGCUAUAUUUGAAAUACUAACUUGCGAUUUCUUUUCACUUCUUUUGAAGAUAUGACUGGAAAACAUGCAAUGACACCUUAAUUCAAUGAGAGGAAUGAGCAAAACCCUCAAUGUCAAGUCACCUCUCUUGGGUGGGAGGAAAUUAUUUCGACUCAAUUACACCUAAAGUUGUCGCGAUAGUACAAGAUUAUUCUAAUGUGGCAAGUCAACUUAAGUCAUACCUCUCGGGGAAGGCUAAACAGAACGUUCACUCAUGUUACAUGCAAAAAGUAGUAAAAUUAUGAACACUUUUGGUUAUGUCACUCGUCAUCUAAUUAAAUGUGACAAAAUUAACGAGACUGAUUAAAUUAACUAAACCAUAAAUAAAAAAUGAAUAAAUUAAAGCAGUAGAUGAAAGCAAAUAAAAAUAUGGUUGUAAAGGUAGAUUCCUAGAUAGCAGUAAAUCAAAACAUGUAAAUCCAAUACAAAACAACGCAAUAAUCCAAUAAUAAUAACCUUAAUUCUACUCUUAAACCUAAGUGAUAAUUAAACCAAUAAGCUAUAAUUAAAAGAGAGACAAAUUUAAGACAAGAGCAUGACAAUAGAAAUUACAACUAAAUAAAAUAAAUCUGGAAAUAAAAUGAAAUAGAAACCCAAAAUAACUUACAGUAUUUGAAUGAUUGCUAUAUGAUACAAGAGUAAAAUUGUUUAGAAUUUGAAUAUGUAUAUAGUUCCACUAAAUUGAAGGAAGGAAUUAACCUAUAUGGAAUGAACUAAACCUUUGCUUGUCCUCAAGCAAAAUUGAAAGCCACAAAAGCAAAGAUGGGUUUAAGCAAAAUCUUUCUCAAUCAAACCAGUGUCUAUCAACGCAUUUAUGAGCUUUAAGAGAAUAAACAAACAUAUGACUUCCUCGUUCUUCACCCUUGGAGUGUACUCCAUGGGAAUCUUUUUUUCGAAAACAUUGAAAACUACAUCUACAUGCAUGUGUGUUAAGCUAAGUCUUUGCUACAAGAAUUCUAUAUAUCUCACAUCUAGGCUCCUCUCUAUAAAUUUGUAUAUAUUUAUAUGAAAUUGGGUUUGGAUCUUUAUUUGGUUUUUCUUUAAUUUAUGGACGUGAGAGCAACGCGAAAGACCGAAUUUAAUUCAAUCAACAAUCUCAUUUAAAUCUCUGGCUGUGUUUUGACAUAUCUUUGUCAUAAAUUAGACGCAAUCAAUUUUCAGAAAAACAAUAUUAAAAUUCAGAUAUCAACUGCAGAUUACGGAGGUGAAUUGUCAACUGCUGAUAACGGGAUCACAACGAUUAAUAUAUAUUAUUGCAAGGGGAUUAGCAAACAUGAAUUGAAACUAAACAUUAUUAAUUAGUAAAUAAUGAAAUAAUCAACUAAAUAAGUAUUAGUAUUAAUCACUAAUGAAAUGAUCAACUAGCUUUGCCGAUUCAGCUGAACUGUAGAAGCAGGGGGUUGGAUUUGGACAAAGAAAGCAGCACGAGCAGCAGUGAUGACAUAAACCAGCAGCCCCGACCCCACGAACACCAACAGCGUCACCACCGCGUAAACCGGCUCGCCGCCGCACGACAGCGACCCCAAUUUCACCCUUAUAAAAUCCACGACCGACAUUGUGAGGAACGUGCAGCCCAGCACCGAUCCGACGGCGGAGGCGAAGAGGCAGUAUUUGAGGUGGUCGACGUUGAUGUCGGCUCUGUGAGGAUCGGUGGGGUCCAUGUUGUUGCGGAGGUUGAUCUGAAGCUUCAAGCUCUGAGCCACGAGGGAUGAGAAGAGGAAGAAGCUGAAGGAGAGGACUUCGAAGACGAUGAGCCGCCUCACCGUCUCGGCGCUGGUGGUGCACGCUGCGCUCGACGCGGUGGUGGAGUUCUGUGGG